Molecule: RNA transcript, 1607 nt
Organism: Fundulus heteroclitus (mummichog)
Lineage: Eukaryota; Metazoa; Chordata; Actinopteri; Cyprinodontiformes; Fundulidae
Exons: 3
Source: RefSeq, a predicted model, not a curated record
AUUCUAGCUUUCUGCUACAUCUGCAGAAAGCUAUUUACUUCAGAAAAUAAAAAACAUCAUUAGAUUUGUGUUAAAAGUUAAACUCAUUUGUUUAAUUAAGCAUUAUUUAGAAUCAGAAACACGAUUCAUUUAUUGACAUUAUACAAAAACUGCUCUACGAUAAGCAGCAGAUUUUUCAUUCUACCUGAGGAGAAAAACUAUGGAAGUUCUCACCCGUCUGUUGUUUCUUCUGAUGACUCUGAUCAGCUGGUCCGUGUGUCAGGAUCAGAGAACAAUCAAAGCAGAACCUGGACAGAACGUCAUUCUGCCAUGUAAAGGCUCUAAGAACUGCACAGUCACGUUUCUGAAGUUGAUCCGACCAGACCUGGAUCCAGAAUAUGUUCUGGUCUACAGGGAUGACAGGAUUUAUGAGCAGUUCCAGAAUCCACGUUUCAAAGGCAGAACUGAACUGCAGAGCCUCAGCAGUUCUGAUGGAAAUGUCAAUGUGAUUUUACACAACAUGACAGAGGAUGACAGUGGCACAUAUGUGUGUCGUGUCAGGUGUGACACUGAUGGAGCGACCUCAGAGAGAAUCAUCCAGCUGAACCUAGUCCCUCCAGGGAAUGGACAAAAAGAAGAUGGAGUGAUCAAAGAUGAAAAGGACACACUUGGAAACAUUCUAUUUUAUGUUGCUGCUGCCUGUGCUGGGAUUAUUUUAACUGUUUUAAUUAUUGCUCUUGCAAUAAUUAUCAGGAAGAAGAACAAGAAGUCGAUGUCUUCUCCUCUUGAUGGUCCAAUGACCCGACUGAAACUUAAUGUAUCUGCAAAAGCAUCAAGCAAAGCGCAGUGUUCAUCAACAUUGUCCUUAGUCAAUGAGAACUAGGAAUUAUUAGCCAUAAAAUAUUUUAACUAUCAAUGUGGCAAAAAUGAAUUAGAUCAGUGAUCUAGUGAGGAAACAGGAGAUCAGUUCUGUAUCUUGUUCCUCAGCUGAUCUCAUCAGAUUCAGAGCUGGUGGUCUCCACUGCACUGAUCAUGUGACUCCUCUGAGAAUUGCUACCUUGUCGUGGUAGAGGGGCUUCAGGGACCUCCAGAUCCUGGCUGCUUUGGUUCAGAGUCUCCUCUGUGAGCCUUCAGCCAGGGGAUGGGGGUCUGACUAAAGUAAUUAAAAAACACACACAGGUUGGUGCUAACAUUUCAUCCAUAGUGGAUUAUAGUAACAAUCUUUGUAUUUAAACUAUGAGCAGAUGAAUGUUUGCAGAACAAGAACAUUAUUGAUAGUACAAAAAAAGAAUUUAGAGCCUUCAAGAAACAUACGUUUUUCUAACUGAUCAGUUAGAAAAAUGUAUGCAAAUGGACACUAUAGAAAUAGUUCAUUAUAAUCUAAUCCUACAGUUUAACUUGUAUGGAAAUAACAUGGCAGGAGGUUCAGUGUCUUUCAUGCAGCUUCUGUAGAUAAUUGAAUUCUCUGAUGUCCUGUAAUUGAUUUACGGCAGCAGCAGGCUGUGGCCAUUAUUACUGUCUAGACUGAAGCAGGGAGGAAAACCAGGCCUGGGUAUUUAAUGUAAAAGGUUAAACUUUGUUUUGGAUAAAAGUUGAUGUCUGAUCAGAUAAUAAAUAUAUUUUAUAGA